ACACCAGCGUCACAAGUGGCAACCGCUUUUAUUUGGCCUAAAGCGUCCGUAGCCGGUUCAGUAAAUUUUCUGUGAAAUUGUUGGGCUUAACCUAACGUCGUGCAGGAAAGACUACUGGACUAGGGACCGGGAGGCGUCAGAGGUAUUCCUGAGGGAGCGGUAAAAUGCUAUAAUCUCAGGAGGACCCCCUGUGGCGAAAGCGUCUGACGAGAACGGAUCCGACGGUGAGGGACGAAAGCUAGGGGAGCAAACCGGAGUAGAUACCCGAGUAGUCC
This 275-nucleotide ribosomal RNA is filed under the name uncultured bacterium. RNAcentral's name for it is "partial 16S ribosomal RNA". It matches the Rfam family "Archaeal small subunit ribosomal RNA", at positions 473 to 747 of the family's 1478-position model. The record is from RNAcentral.